CUCAGGUCCCAUGGUGCAGUGCACUGCAGUGCAGCAGGGUGCAGCGAGCUCCUUCUAUUCCAUCGUCGACGAUGAUGAAGCGACCCGUUGCGGCCGACCGACGAGCCCGGCAGCAUCGUCUGCUCCCCCUUCUGGUCUUCCCCGCCUUCUUCCUCUUCAUCAUCGCGCCGUGCGCCCUCUUCUUGUUCAGGACAUCCGCAUCGAGUAUGACCGCCGCGACGCUCUAUCCAUCGCACCUAGAAAUGAGCCGCUGCCAGCACAGCCAGUGCCACUGCCAUCGCGCCACCACUGUUGCCAGCACCACCGCCUUCGGGUCUAGGUGCGGACGAUGAUGAGGCGGAGCCGUGACGGCUGCCGCCUCCGCGCCAGCUGACGGACCCACCGUACUCGCUCGGCCCGACCGUCGACUACAAGGCGCACAGGGCUAGUGGCUCCACGACAA
RNAcentral lists this unclassified non-coding RNA (442 nucleotides) under Zea mays. Its description in RNAcentral is "misc RNA Zm00001eb396260". Lineage: Eukaryota; Viridiplantae; Streptophyta; Magnoliopsida; Poales; Poaceae. The record is from RNAcentral.